This 253-nucleotide ribosomal RNA is filed under the name uncultured bacterium. RNAcentral's name for it is "partial 16S ribosomal RNA". It matches the Rfam family "Bacterial small subunit ribosomal RNA", at positions 524 to 776 of the family's 1533-position model. The record is from RNAcentral.
UACGUAGGCAGCGAGCGUUGUUCGGAAUUACUGGGCGUAAAGAGUGUGUAGGCGGUGCUCUAAGUUCGGUGUGAAAUCUCCCGGCUUAACUGGGAGGGUGCGCUGGAAACUGGAGUGCUCGAGCGUGGGAGAGGAAAGCGGAAUUCCUGGUGUAGCGGUGAAAUGCGUAGAUAUCAGGAGGAACACCUGCGGUGUAGACGGCUUUCUGGACCAUUGCUGACGCUGAGACACGAAAGCGUGGGUAGCAAACAGG